Molecule: microRNA, 22 nt
Filed under: Monodelphis domestica (gray short-tailed opossum)
Lineage: Eukaryota; Metazoa; Chordata; Mammalia; Didelphimorphia; Didelphidae
Description: mdo-miR-7335-3p
Source: miRBase by way of RNAcentral
UCUGAUGCCAUUUGACAGCUCA